GUCCACGCCCUAAACGAUGGAUACUAAGUAGGGGACCCUGCAAGGGGUUCCUUGCCGGAGCAAAAGCGUUAAGUAUCCCGCCUGGGGAGUAUGGUCGCAAGGCUGAAACUCAAAGGAAUUGACGGGGGCUCACACAAGCGGUGGAGCAUGUUGCUUAAUUCGAUGCAACGCGAAGAACCUUACCCGGGCUCGAAGUGUACGGAUUAGCUCUAUGAAAGUAGAGUGACACCUUAACCGGUGGAACGUAUAAAGGUGUUGCAUGGCUGUCGU
RNAcentral lists this ribosomal RNA (270 nucleotides) under uncultured bacterium. Its description in RNAcentral is "partial 16S ribosomal RNA". It matches the Rfam family "Bacterial small subunit ribosomal RNA", at positions 793 to 1055 of the family's 1533-position model. The record is from RNAcentral.